ACCGGGAUAACCCUGGGAAACUGGGGAUAAUACUGGAUAGGCAAUUUUUCCUGUAAUGGUUUUUUGUUUAAAUGUUUUUUUCGCCUAAGGAUGGGUCUGCGGCCGAUUAGGUAGUUGGUUAGGUAAUGGCUUACCAAGCCGUUGAUCGGUACGGGUUGUGAGAGCAAGAGCCCGGAGAUGGAACCUGAGACAAGGUUCCAGGCCCUACGGGGUGCAGCAGGCGCGAAACCUCCGCAAUGUGAGAAAUCGCGACGGGGGGAUCCCAAGUGCCAUUCUUAACGGGAUGGCUUUUCAUUAGUGUAAAGAGCUUUUGGAAUAAGAGCUGGGCAAGACCGGUGCCAGCCGCCGCGGUAACACCGGCAGCUCUAGUGGUAGCAAUUUUUAUUGGGCCUAAAGCGUCCGUAGCCGGUUUAAUAAGUCUCUGGUGAAAUCCUGCAGCUUAACUGUGGGAAUUGCUGGAGAUACUAUUAGACUUGAGACCGGGAGAGGUUAGAGGUACUCCCAGGGUAGAGGUGAAAUUCUGUAAUCCUGGGAGGACCGCCUGUUGCGAAGGCGUCUAACUGGAACGGUUCUGACGGUGAGGGACGAAAGUUAGGGGCGCGAACCGGAUUAGAUACCCGGGUAGUCCUAACUGUAAACGAUGCGGACUUGGUGUUGGGGUGGCUUUGAGCUGCUUCAGUGCCGAAGGGAAGCUGUUAAGUCCGCCGCCUGGGAAGUACGGUCGCAAGACUGAAACUUAA
RNAcentral lists this ribosomal RNA (740 nucleotides) under uncultured archaeon. RNAcentral describes it as "bacterial SSU rRNA". It matches the Rfam family "Archaeal small subunit ribosomal RNA", at positions 120 to 859 of the family's 1478-position model. The record is from RNAcentral.